This 2730-nucleotide ribosomal RNA is filed under the name Triticum aestivum (bread wheat). RNAcentral's name for it is "partial small subunit ribosomal RNA". The record is from RNAcentral. Lineage: Eukaryota; Viridiplantae; Streptophyta; Magnoliopsida; Poales; Poaceae.
AUGAGGCUCUCGUCGCCGGCGGGCGCCGUCCUCCCGGCCCAGGCGCCGGCGUCGCCGGAAGCUGCUGAGGAGCACAAGUGCCUGAAUUCGGAGCUAUGGCACGCCUGCGCCGGCCCGCUCGUCUCCUUGCCCGCGGUCGGCAGCAGGGUGGUGUACUUCCCACAGGGUCACAGCGAGCAGGUAGCCGCAUCGACGAAUAAAGAGAUCGAGUCUCAGAUCCCCAACUACCCCAAUUUGCCUCCACAGCUUAUCUGCCAGCUGCACAAUGUGACCAUGCAUGCUGAUGCGGAGACGGACGAGGUCUAUGCGCAGAUGACCUUGCAACCACUUAACCCGCAAGAGCUCAAAGAUCCGUAUCUACCUGCUGAAUUAGGUACUGCAAACAAACAGCCAACGAAUUAUUUUUGCAAAACAUUAACUGCGAGUGACACAAGCACGCAUGGCGGCUUCUCUGUUCCCCGGCGAGCAGCUGAGAAAGUGUUUCCUCCGCUGGAUUUCACCAUGCAGCCUCCAGCACAGGAGUUGUUUGCAAAAGAUCUUCAUGGCAAUGAGUGGAAAUUCCGUCACAUCUUUCGCGGUCAGCCAAAGCGGCAUCUUCUCACAACAGGCUGGAGUGUCUUUGUAAGUGCAAAGAGACUCGUUGCUGGGGACUCUGUCCUAUUUAUCUGGAAUGACAACAAUCAGCUUCUUCUGGGAAUUCGCCGGGCAACUCGGCCACAAACUGUCAUGCCAUCUUCCGUCCUAUCAAGUGAUAGCAUGCACAUUGGUCUUCUUGCUGCAGCUGCUCAUGCUGCCUCAACAAAUAGCCGGUUUACAAUCUUUUAUAACCCAAGAGCUAGCCCUUGUGAGUUUGUUAUACCACUUGCCAAGUAUGUAAAAGCCGUGUAUCAUACCCGUAUAUCGGUGGGGAUGCGUUUCAGGAUGCUUUUUGAGACAGAAGAAUCAAGUGUUCGGAGAUACAUGGGGACAAUUACAGGAAUUAGUGAUCUUGAUGCUGUCCGUUGGCCAAACUCACAUUGGCGGUCUGUGAAGGUUGGCUGGGAUGAAUCAACUGCUGGAGAGAGGCAGCCAAGGGUGUCACUUUGGGAGAUUGAACCCCUGACAACUUUCCCGAUGUACCCUACUCCUUUUCCACUCAGACUGAAGCGACCAUGGCCAACAGGCUUGCCUUCUCUGCAUGGUGGUAAGGAUGAUGACUUGACUUCCUCGCUCAUGUGGCUUCGAGAUAGUGCAAGCCCUGGUUUCCAGUCGCUGAAUUUCGGUGGUGCUGGUAUGAAUCCCUGGAUGCAGCCAAGGCUGGAUGCAUCGUUACUUGGUCUACAGCCUGACAUUUACCAAACGAUGGCUGCGGCUGCGUUCCAGGACCCAACAAAGAUGUCACCCACGAUGUUGCAGUUCCAGCAGCCACAAAACAUGGUUGGUAGAGCUACGCCGCUUCUGCAAAGUCAGAUUUUACAGCAAAUGCAACCUCAGUUUCAGCAGCAGUCAUACCUUCAAAACAUCAAUGGGGCCACGAUCCAGGGCCAGGCUCAGUCUGAGUUCCUUCAACAGCAGCUCCAACGGUGCCAGUCCUUCAAUGAGCAGAAGCCACAGCUUCUCCAACAGCAAGAAUCAAAUCAGCAGCAAUCACAGGGUAUGCAAGUCCCUCAACAUCAGCAUAUGCAACAACAGAAGAAUAUGGCGAACUACCAGUCAGCAUAUUCUCAACUCUCCCCAGGUCCUCAGUCUUCACCUACAGCACUGCAAACGGCCUUACCGUUUUCGCAGUCUCAGAGCUUUUCGGACACGAAUAUGAGCUCAUUGUCCCCAUCCGGUGCCCCCGCCAUGCAUAAUACCUUGGGGCCAUUCUCAUCAGAAACAGCUUCACACCUGAGUAUGUCAAGGCCUACUGCGGUACCUGUCCCUGACUCAUGGUCGUCAAAGCGAGUUGCAGUGGAGUCUCUGAUUCCUUCUCGGCCUCAGUCCACCACGCAUAUGGAACAGCUAUCCUCAACACCACCUAGCAUACCUCAAAGCUCUGCAUUGGCGCCACUUCCUGGAAGAGGUUGCUUGGUGGAUCAAGAUGGGAGCUCUGAUCCUCAGAAUCAUCUUUUGUUCGGCGUUAAUAUAGACUCACACUCACUUCUGAUGCAAGGAGGUCUUCACGACGAGAAUGAUUCGACGGCAAUGCCCUAUUCCACUUCCAAUUUUCUGAGUCCUUCUCAACAUGAUUUCUCCUUGGAUCAGACACUAAAUAGUUCAGGAUGCUUGGAUGAGUCGGGAUAUGUGCCAUGUUCACACACUCCUGAUCAAGUGAAUCAACCACCUGCAACCUUUGUGAAGGUUUACAAAUCUGGAACCUACGGAAGGUCGCUUGAUAUCACCAAGUUUAGCAACUACCAUGAACUACGUAGGGAACUGGGGCGCCUAUUCGGCCUUGAGGGCCAGUUGGAAGACCCUAUGAGAUCAGGCUGGCAGCUUGUAUUCGUCGACCGGGAGGAGGACGUCCUUCUGGUCGGUGACGACCCUUGGCAGGAAUUCGUGAACAGCGUGUCCUGCAUAAAGAUCCUGUCCCCGCAGGAGGUGCAGCAGAUGGGCAAGCAGGGCCUGGAGCUCCUGAGCUCGGCCCCCGGGAAGAGGCUAGGCGGCGGCGGCGGCGGUAGCAGCUGCGACGACUACGCGAGCAGGCAGGAGUCGAGGAGCCUGAGCACCGGGAUCGCGUCGGUCGGCUCGGUCGAAGUAGAGUUCUGA